Molecule: ribosomal RNA, 154 nt
Filed under: Scytinostroma incrustatum
Lineage: Eukaryota; Fungi; Basidiomycota; Agaricomycetes; Russulales; Lachnocladiaceae
Description: Michenera incrustata 5.8S ribosomal RNA
Rfam family: 5.8S ribosomal RNA
About the family: 5.8S ribosomal RNA (5.8S rRNA) is a component of the large subunit of the eukaryotic ribosome. It is transcribed by RNA polymerase I as part of the 45S precursor that also contains 18S and 28S rRNA.
Source: RNAcentral
AACUUUCAGCAAUGGAUCUCUUGGCUCUUGCAUCGAUGAAGAACGCAGCGAAAUGCGAUAAGUAAUGUGAAUUGCAGAAUUCAGUGAAUCAUCGAAUCUUUGAACGCACCUUGCACCUUUCAGUUUUCUGAAAGGUACACCUGUUUGAGUAUCA